AUACGGAGGGAGCAAGCGUUACUCGGAAUCACUGGGCGUAAAGGGCGCGUAGGCGGUUUGGUAAGUUGGAUGUGAAAGCCCACGGCUCAACCGUGGAACUGCGUCCAAAACUGCCAGACUAGAGUCCGGAAGAGGCAGGUGGAAUUGGUGGUGUAGGGGUAAAAUCCGUAGAGAUCACCAGGAAUACCCAUUGCGAAGGCGACCUGCUGGGACGGUACUGACGCUGAGGCGCGAAAGCGUGGGGAGCAAACAGGAUUAGAAACCCUAGUAGUCC
RNAcentral lists this ribosomal RNA (274 nucleotides) under uncultured bacterium. RNAcentral describes it as "partial 16S ribosomal RNA". It matches the Rfam family "Bacterial small subunit ribosomal RNA", at positions 523 to 796 of the family's 1533-position model. The record is from RNAcentral.